This is a long non-coding RNA of Sarcophilus harrisii (Tasmanian devil), 3355 nucleotides long. Lineage: Eukaryota; Metazoa; Chordata; Mammalia; Dasyuromorphia; Dasyuridae. The record is from Ensembl.
CUCUAUCUCUAAUAUUUCACAUUACCUUCUGGAAAAACUUUGGGAAAAAAGCCCUACAUAUAUUUGGGGGGAGUACUAUUAUCCCCACUGAGAUAAAGAAACUGAGGCUCGAGAUUGAGUGCUCUGUCACCCAACUAGUAAGUGUCCUGAGUCAGGAUGAACUCGUUUUUACUCCAGAUCCACAGUUCUAUCUAUUACAUCACCUCAAGGCAGCUUCCCUGUGGGAAUAUAUGAACAAGAGGUAUACAGGAAUAGGGGCCAUGGAAAGAUUAUGUAGGUAUUGUUGGAGCCAGUACCCACAUUUUGAAUCCACUAAGGAUACUUAAAUAAUAACCUAACUUUUUGUUUAUUCCACCCUUUUCCACUCCCAUACCACUGUUGUUAGGGAAGGGCUUGAAGACUUAUUAGCAUUAUGUAUAUGAUACAUAUGCAUAUACAGACAAUUCUCACUUUUCGCAAAUUCCCAUUAUACACAUAAAGAAUUUUGAAAGGCAUCUACAUUCCCCCAAAAUCUAUUUUAACUACUGCACAGUGCUGUGCUCUUCCUUUGCUGCUUCCCUUCUACUAGGCACUCUGCAGCCUGCCCCUUCCCCUCAAAAAAGUACCCAGAGGCAGUGACCAACAAGGGGAGAGGGAGGUUGGAUGGAGACCACCCAGAGGUGACCUUAUUCACUGCCCCCGUAUCUGGCCCCUAUUUUCCAUCCCGGAAUGUUCCAGGACCAUGUGACUAUCUUCCUUUUUCUGCUCUGGCUUCUGUCACCGUAUCCUUGAGCCAGGAACCGGCCUUCUCCCUGGACAGAUGAGUGCCCCCUUUGCCUGCCUCCCUGCUUUCCUCCUCCACUUCUGGGGGCACGCUGGAUUUACAUAAAAAUGGCUUUAAGCAAAACUCCGCGGAAUGCUCCACUUCCCUAAAAGGAUUAUGGGAUUGCAAUAGCAUGGCCCAUUCAAGUUCAACACGUCCACAACAGAGCUUCUUCUGUCCCUCACCUCUCAAACUUUCCUAUUUCUGCUGCUGAAGGCCCUACAGGCCCACAAGCUCGGUGCCGUGUUUGAAGCCCGCACUCCAUAUUUGCCAUCUGUUUACGCAUAUUGUGCUUUCUACCUUCCUAACCUGUCUGUCUCCUGCCUAUCUCCUACUUUUCUUUAUAAACCCACCUGGAUGGCUGCAAUUGCCUCCUAAAGUCUCCCUGUCUCUCUCCUCCCUGAUCCCUCCUGCGGCAGCCUGUGAUUUCCCUGAAGCAGAGGUCUGGCUGUCUCACCCACCUAACCAACAGCUUUGGGGCUCCCUAUCACCUCUAAGGCUAAACGCAAAGGUACAUUUGGCGUCUAAAGUCCUUCGCCCCUGCCCUUUGCUCUUCUCCAAGUCCCGGACCUUGCCCGGGUGCAGCUCCUGCUGGUGCAGCUCCUCCUUCCCGCUCCGCACCUCACAGCCCAGCCCCCCACCCACUCGCCUCUGCUCGGGUGGGUCCGGGCCAGGCUCUUGGAUACCUUCCACCUGCUCCGCACUUAUUUACGCAGCUUUCCUCCUCCUCCUCAGAAUGUGACCUCCUGGAAGGCUCGGAGGUUGGGGGGGUUGGGGGGAGAAGGGGGAGAGGAUCCCCCUAUUUAACACAGAGCCUUAAACAAAAAUCAAAUCAAACCGCCUUCUGAUUAGCCACAAGCAACUGCAUAGUGAUCACUGACAAUUGUACGACUGCAAGCGUUCAGCGGGUUUCAUAUAAAAUUUUUAAAAGGAUCACAGGUCUUUUCUAUUACAAAACAGCCUUCCAUAGCACGCGUUUCACAUUUUAAUAUUCUCCCAAGGCUUAACUAGCGCCCCUCUUUUCCUUAAGAACAACCAGUCACUUUCCCGAGGGGGCCUCGGUCUUUCACCACUUAAACCUGCGUUCCACUUCGUCCGCGAUCACCUCGGAAAUGGCCAGGGAGGCGGUGGCCGCGGGGGACGGGGCGUUCCUCACGUGGAGCACGCGGGAAGCCAGGCCCCCGACCCCUCCGUCGAACACGAAGUCGUCCACCAGGUUUCCGAGGCUGUCCAGGGCCUGCGCCCGGACUCCGGACGGGCCCCGCUGGACGUCGCUGACGGUGAUCUCGGGCAGCAGCUUCUGGAGCUGCCGGACCGUGGCCGUGAGGGACAGGGCCCGGUACAGCUCGCCGGCGCCGAAGAAGGCGUGGCGCAGCGCCAGGCGGGCCAGGCCGCUGUUGCGCAGGGAGUCCCACGUGUCCUGGGCCGAGAAGUCCAGCGGGCUGUAGCCCUCCCGCUUGAAGGCCAGGACGGCGUUGGGCCCGACCCAGACGCUGCCGUCCAUCCUGGGCGUGAAGUGGACCCCUAGGAAGGGGAAGCGGGGGUCGGGCACGGGGUAAAUGUUGCCCCGCACCAUGAAGGCCUUCUCGGGCCGGAGCACCAGGUAGUCCCCGCGGAAGGGCACGAUGGCCGGCUCGGGGCUGCAGCCGCUCAGCUGGGACACGCGGUCCGAAUGCAGGCCCGCGCAGGUGACCACGAAGUGUGCCUGCACGUGGGCGCCCCAGAUGCUCUGCAGCACGAUGGGCACCUCGGGCCAGUCGUGGGCCAAGUCCAGGCGGCUGACCUCGAAGUUGGUGCAGAUGGAGCCGCCCGCCUCGCGGAUGUCCUCGGCGAAGGCGGCGGCCACGCGCCCGUAGUCCACGAUGCCCGUGGAGGGGCACUCGAGGGCCAGCAGGCCGCGGCAGAAGGGCUCGCGGAGCUGGAUGUCGUGCGGCGACAGCAGGCGCAGGCCCAGCACCUUGUUCUGCAGGCCCCGCUGGUGGAGGGCGUGCAGGCGCGGCAGCUCUGCCUGCUCCGCGGCCACCACCAGCUUGCCGCAGCGCCGGUAGGGGAUGCCCCGCUGGUCGCAGUAGGCGUACAGGAGGCCCGCGCCCUGAACGCACAGCCGGGCUUUCAGCGAUUCCGGCAGGUAGUAGAUGCCGCUGUGGAUGACGCCGCUAUUGUGGCCUGUCUGGUGCUGCGCUAUGGCCCCCUCCUUCUCCACCACAAGGACGCGCAGGCCCGGCCGGCGGAGCAGCAGGGCCCGAGCCACCGCCAGGCCCAAGAUGCCCGCGCCCACGACGACCACGUCGUAAAUGUCGGGGCCGCUGCUGCUGUGGCUCUGGCUACCAACGCCGUGGGACAGCGCCCGCCUCACAGGGCCCCGGGUCUGCACCCCGGAGGCCCAGGCGACCCGGGAGAGCCGAGCCACCAGGGCCAUCCUCGGAGCCACCAGGGCGUGCUGGAGCAGCAGCAUGGCGUGCCUCAAAGGGCCGAAUGUGUCGGAAGUGGGGCUGCACCUGACCAAUACUUCCGGAAUCUCUCAAUGUCUAUAAAAACUUGAAGAAUGCAAGC